CUUUUAACGAGAGUUUGAUCCUGGCUCAGGAUGAACGCUGGCGGCGUGCUUAACACAUGCAAGUCGAGCGAAGCACUUUACUUGGAUUUCUUCGGAGAAAAGAGUGUAGUGACUGAGCGGCGGACGGGUGAGUAACGCGUGGGUAACCUGCCUCAUACAGGGGGAUAACAGUCAGAAAUGACUGCUAAUACCGCAUAAGACCGCAGUACCGCAUGGUACGGUGGUAAAAACUCCGGUGGUAUGAGAUGGACCCGCGUCU
RNAcentral lists this ribosomal RNA (259 nucleotides) under Faecalicatena contorta. RNAcentral describes it as "partial 16S ribosomal RNA". It matches the Rfam family "Bacterial small subunit ribosomal RNA", at positions 1 to 238 of the family's 1533-position model. The record is from RNAcentral. Lineage: Bacteria; Bacillati; Bacillota; Clostridia; Lachnospirales; Lachnospiraceae.